GACGAACGCUGGCGGCGUGCUUAACACAUGCAAGUCGAACGGAAAGGCCCUGCGUUUGUGGGGUUCUCGAGUGGCGAACGGGUGAGUAACACGUGAGUAACCUGCCCUUGACUUUGGGAUAACUUCAGGAAACUGGGGCUAAUACCGGAUAGGAUCUCCUGCUGCAUGGUGGGGGUUGGAAAGUUUCGGCGGUUGGGGAUGGACUCGCGGGUUAUCAGCUUGUUGGUGGGGUAGUGGCUUACCAAGGCUUUGACGGGUAGCCGGCCUGAGAGGGUGACCGGGCACAUUGGGACUGAGGUACGGAGCAGACUCCUACGGGAGGCAGCAGUGGGGAAUAUGGCACAGUGGGGGGAAGCCUGAUGCAGAAACGCCGCGUGCGGGAUGACGGCCUUCGGGUUGUAAACAGCUUUCGAAUGUGACGAAGAGUGAGUGACGGUAAUGGGUAAAGAAGCACCGGCUAACUACGUG
Molecule: ribosomal RNA, 468 nt
Filed under: uncultured bacterium
Lineage: Bacteria
Description: partial 16S ribosomal RNA
Rfam family: Bacterial small subunit ribosomal RNA
Source: RNAcentral